UUCCGUAGGUGAACCUGCGGAAGGAUCAUUACUGAGUGCGGGCUGCCUCCGGGCGCCCAACCUCCCACCCGUGAAUACCUAACACUGUUGCUUCGGCGGGGAACCCCCUCGGGGGCGAGCCGCCGGGGACUACUGAACUUCAUGCCUGAGAGUGAUGCAGUCUGAGUCUGAAUAUAAAAUCAGUCAAAACUUUCAACAAUGGAUCUCUUGGUUCCGGCAUCGAUGAAGAACGCAGCGAACUGCGAUAAGUAAUGUGAAUUGCAGAAUUCAGUGAAUCAUCGAGUCUUUGAACGCACAUUGCGCCCCCUGGCAUUCCGGGGGGCAUGCCUGUCCGAGCGUCAUUGCUGCCCAUCAAGCCCGGCUUGUGUGUUGGGUCGUCGUCCCCCCCGGGGGACGGGCCCGAAAGGCAGCGGCGGCACCGUGUCCGGUCCUCGAGCGUAUGGGGCUUUGUCACCCGCUCGACUAGGGCCGGCCGGGCGCCAGCCGACGUCUCCAACCAUUUUCUUCAGGUUGACCUCGGAUCAGGUAGGGAUACCCGCUGAACUUAAGCAUAUCAAUAAGCGGAGGAA
This 569-nucleotide ribosomal RNA is filed under the name Aspergillus versicolor. RNAcentral describes it as "eukaryotic LSU rRNA". The stretch from base 188 to 341 matches the Rfam family "5.8S ribosomal RNA". The record is from RNAcentral. Lineage: Eukaryota; Fungi; Ascomycota; Eurotiomycetes; Eurotiales; Aspergillaceae. RNAcentral also lists the same sequence under 1 other name.